RNAcentral lists this ribosomal RNA (440 nucleotides) under uncultured bacterium. Its description in RNAcentral is "partial 16S ribosomal RNA". It matches the Rfam family "Bacterial small subunit ribosomal RNA", at positions 338 to 795 of the family's 1533-position model. The record is from RNAcentral.
CCUACGGGAGGCAGCAGUGGGGAAUAUUGCACAAUGGGGGAAACCCUGAUGCAGCGACGCCGCGUGAAGGAAGAAGUAUUUCGGUAUGUAAACUUCUAUCAGCAGGGAAGAAAAUGACGGUACCUGACUAAGAAGCCCCGGCUAACUACGUGCCAGCAGCCGCGGUAAUACGUAGGGGGCAAGCGUUAUCCGGAUUUACUGGGUGUAAAGGGAGCGUAGGCGGGUUAGAAAGUCAGAAGUGAAAGCCCGGGGCUCAACUCCGGGACUGCUUUUGAAACUGGUGAACUAGAGUGCAGGAGAGGUAAGUGGAAUUCGUGGUGUAGCGGUGAAAUGCGUAGAUAUUAGGAAGAACACCAGUGGCGAAGGCGGCUUACUGGACUGUAAAUGACGCUGAGGCUCGAAAGCGUGGGGAGCAAACAGGAUUAGAUACCCCAGUAGUC